RNAcentral lists this microRNA precursor (142 nucleotides) under Choloepus hoffmanni (Hoffmann's two-fingered sloth). Its description in RNAcentral is "miRNA (ENSCHOG00000014573.1)". The stretch from base 44 to 95 matches the Rfam family "mir-1302 microRNA precursor family". The record is from RNAcentral. Lineage: Eukaryota; Metazoa; Chordata; Mammalia; Pilosa; Megalonychidae.
CAGGAAGCCCAGUUAAAUUUGAAUUUCAUAUAAACAGUGGAUAUUUUUAGUGUAAGUGUGUCCCAUGUAAUAUUUGGGACAUAUUUAUACUAAAGUAUCUUUCAUUGUUCAUCUAAAAUCCACAUUUAACUGACCUUUCUGU